This is a long non-coding RNA of Quercus lobata, 471 nucleotides long. RefSeq lists it as uncharacterized. The record is from RefSeq and is a predicted model, not a curated record. NCBI's taxonomy places the organism in Eukaryota, Viridiplantae, Streptophyta, Magnoliopsida, Fagales, Fagaceae. The transcript is spliced from 2 exons.
AACAAAAUUCUCCCUAUCAUGCUUCCGAUUUGGUUUAUCUAAAGAACCUAGAAUUCGGCUUCUUCUGUAUUAGCUUCUUCUCUUAUUAAUCAACCACUAGAACCCAGGGCAGCUAAACAAAACCCAAAGAAGAAACAGUAUCGGCCGUUCUCUGCUCGGCGACGAUAUUUGAAAUAGGAGAGCUGAUCGGAACGUUUACGGUACAAGUUGGCAGCAAGUCUAGUGAUUUCAAAGAAUAAUGAUCAACGUUCGAGAAUUGUUGAAAUUGCUAGAAACAUUCCACUACUGGAAUAUUUUCGGUCACUCAAAGAUUAGUAUAAAAGAAUGAAUAGGAUACUGUUUAUGAGUUAGUGAUUUAGUGAUUUUUUUUUUUUUUUAAUGAAUGGGAGAUUGAAUUUUUAUCUUUCAUACAGCAAUUUAGUAAAUUGUUUUUUAUUUUUCUAAUGAAUGUGAGGCUGAAUUUUUAUUUUU